UAGUGCUGAUUUGGUCCGCGUCAUCCG
Molecule: small RNA, 27 nt
Filed under: Bombyx mori (domestic silkworm)
Lineage: Eukaryota; Metazoa; Arthropoda; Insecta; Lepidoptera; Bombycidae
Description: ovarian small RNA-3101
Source: RNAcentral